CUUGACCGACCCCAGCCACAGCGGGUGGUCCGCGGACCGGUUUCUCCCGUAGGUCGCUUGCAGCGCCUGCGCCUC
This 75-nucleotide antisense RNA is filed under the name Saccharothrix sp. ALI-22-I. RNAcentral's name for it is "ASpks TB sRNA". It matches the Rfam family "ASpks TB sRNA". The record is from Rfam by way of RNAcentral. Lineage: Bacteria; Bacillati; Actinomycetota; Actinomycetes; Pseudonocardiales; Pseudonocardiaceae.